CCUACGGGUGGCAGCAGUGAGGAAUAUUGGUCAAUGGACGCAAGUCUGAACCAGCCAUGCCGCGUGCAGGAAGACGGCUCUAUGAGUUGUAAACUGCUUUUGUACGAGGGUAAACGCACAUACGCGUAUCAGUCUGUAAGUAUCGUACUAAUAAGGAUCGGCUAACUCCGUGCCAGCCGCCGCGGUAAUACGGAGGAUUCAAGCGUUAUCCGGAUUUAUUGGGUUUAAAGGGUGCGUAGGCGGUCGGAUAAGUUAGUGGUGAAAUCCCGAGGCUCAACUUCGGAAUUGCUGCUGAUACUUUUAGGCGAGAGAUGAGUAGAGGUAGGCGGAAUGUAUGGUGUAGCGGUGAAAUGCUUAGAGAUCAGACAGAACACCGAUUGCGAAGGCAGCUUACCGGGCUACUUCUGACGUUGAGGCACGAAAGCGUGGGGAGCAAACAGGAUUAGAUACCCGUGUAGUC
RNAcentral lists this ribosomal RNA (460 nucleotides) under uncultured bacterium. RNAcentral's name for it is "partial 16S ribosomal RNA". It matches the Rfam family "Bacterial small subunit ribosomal RNA", at positions 338 to 795 of the family's 1533-position model. The record is from RNAcentral.